AAGAAAUACGUUCUCCUGUAAAUUUUUUUAUGAUCCAUGGUUGUGUUGUAACGGAUAAGCAAACGCGGUAUGAUUGUUUCGUCAGGGAUGAAUAAAAUGAGAGUCACUGAAAAUUGAACACGUCUCGUGCGUCCAAUGAUAUUCGUGCGUACUGGCGUCGUGCCGCCGCCGACGACUGGCACAAUGUUACAGAUGGCUUGGAACGCCGACUAUUGUCCUUACUCUACUGCAGCUACCGUUGCUUUGUUACUUUGUUGACUUAUUGUGUGUAUCGCGUACCGUUAAAAGACACUGUUGGCCGGUUCGCCAUUUAUUUCUAAACUUAAUUUCUUCUUCGCCGGUUCUGUUCUCCUAUCGACUUCUCCAUUUCAGCAUGCAUUAGAACGUUUUUUCUCAUUGUCUUCGAGUCGAGAACAAUCGUUUUCCGUUCGAUUCAUCGUCUCGGUCGUCAUAACGUUAAUAAUUAAUUACCAGUUGGCAAGGUGUCGGUCACAAUUUCGGUUCCUACAGAUUUUCGUCUCGAAGGUGAGAACUUGUUGAUUCGAUACUGGUUGUUUUAGCACAGUCUCGUCAUGAAAGCCGUUUCGAAGAACACUGAUCACAUCCAGAGCAAAGAUGAUAGUUGUUCAUCGUGCAGAGUAUCAGGAUCUGUUACUUUCCUACUGGUUGCUGCAUAUUUUUAUUUUGGCUGCAAGCACGUGAAACCCAUUUAUUAUUUUGGAACGCCUAGUAUGAUAUAUUUAUCUGUAGCCAGAGCAACAAAUUUGGCACCUUUUAAUGGUUAACAUUUCAAUACCAACUAUAUGCUUUGCAUUUAUAUUAUAGUUAAUUAAGGUUCACUAUCAAGGCUUUGAUUCAUAUGAUGAAGAAGAUGAAGAGUUUACUUGAAUAUCUUUAUCCUAAUAAAAAUACAUGUAUAACUUAAGCAUCAUAAAAUUAUAAUUUAAAAAAAAAUUAGAUAUGAAUGUAAAAAUAAUUAUAUUAAAUACCUCUAAAACAAGCAUGUCAAACAUGCGGCCCUCAGCUCUUUUUUUUUUGUGGACCGCGACCACCAAUAUUAAUGGACAAGAAAAAAAUUAAUAAUACAAUAUUAAUGCCGUGUCAUAACUAUCUUAGAUUCUUAGAGAAUGGUUUGUUCGGUAUACAUCACUACACUGUCUUAUCUUCUGAUUAGCUAACCUUUUUUUAUUUAGUUGUAUCUGCUGUGUCCGUAAACAUAAAGAAUAAAAUUGAUAAAUGUGUAGGUAUAUCAUACCAUACAGAAGUGCUUACUACUUCCGAAGUGGGGCAAAGUUAUCUCGGUUUACGAUAUCGGGUUUGUCUUGUUACAAUAGAUAUCUAGCUCAAACUCUAGUUGUAGGGUAUUUUAUCUCAUCGAUUGUUUCGUUCAGAACUCGCUCUACUGUUGUUUUUUUUAAACGACAUUUUUUUACAAAUUUCUCGUCAUUAUAAAUUUCAAGGUAAUUUGCCUUGUAUGAAAAGUUUGGCUUUAUUGAAUGGCAACAUCAAAAGCUUUUAUGUCGUCUUCAUAAUCGAAGACAUCUUCUUUGCCAAGUAAUAAUGAAUUAUGCUUAGCUCUAGACUUAAUUAUAUGUAAUAUAUAAUAUAAUUAUGUUUAUAUAAUUAUAUAAACAUGAACAUGCCUAAUAGUUCGUGCAUUUUACAUCUGCAACUGAUUUUAUAGUAAUAAUUCCUUCAGUUUGUUUGACAGUGGAGUUUGUUAUAUCUUUCCCAAUUACUUCAUCUUUUAUCAGUUGACUAAUUUUUUCUUGGUAAGAAACAUUCUAUAAAUAAUGUUUUUAUAGUUUGUAUAAUAAUAAACAAGGUCCAAAUUGUAUGUUAAAAUGCACAUGACUUUGAAGUUUUAAAAUACAAUGGCCAACAAUAUAAAAGGUUUUUUUUUAAAAAGUCACUAUAUUCUCCGAGGUUUUUGCAUUUGAAAUGGUUUCAUACGGUCUUUGUGUGUUCAUAAUUUACUUGUUGUACACGUGACUGUUAGUCUACUGUAAAAAUCUUUUUUUUUCGCCGGUAAAUUUGUUUCUUCGAGCUUGUUCCAACUAUCUGUAUAUUCAUAAGAGUAUACACCUUAAAGAGUAAUGAGCUUGCACGUUUUCAGUAAAAACGUUUUUUGCUGUCUGUCCGAACUUCUCGAACCCGACUGUUAAUGCAUUUUCUGUAAGUGUUGAUACUUGUAGUUUCGAUGCCAUGAAACGACAUAAGUCUAGAAUCGUAUUGAAAAGUUAUUGGUCCCAUGUUUUGAAAAUGAAAUGUAUUUUUCUUCGCUGUUUGAAAUAACCGAAAUAGUUAUGGAGUUGUAACCCAACUCGGUUACGAUUAAAUUUGUAUCAUAAUUUGAUAAAUGAACAUGAAAAUAUGGUAUGAAAUUCGGUGUUUGAAGCUUGAGGUUGUAGGUAUUACUGAAUGUUUGCCUAUAUUUGCCGGAUAAGUGACAGUGGUCUACCACUUAAUCGUUUUUGUUGGAAAAAUUACAUUACUUAAGUUGCAUGUAUUAUUGUCCAUAAGUGCUGUUUACUCUUCUUUGGUCAUUAUGAUGGGUUUAUUUGUUUUAAGUAAAUCUUGAACACUUUUUGCAAUCUCUGCAUCUUUCUUUGUUUUUUUUUUAAAUCGUGUAUGUUUUGGUUAAUUUUUCAAAUAUUUUUAUUACUGCGAUGGGUGUUGGGGACAUUAAAUCGGAAAAAUUGUAUUUUUCUUUGAUCGAAGUAUAAUUUUCGGUUACUUGAUUUUCACAUGAAUCCUUUUCUGUAAAUCUUCGUCACCGCGUCACCGAUCUUGUUGGUUAUUUCCACUGCCUUCCGCCUUCUCUUUUUUCUCCGACAGGCCCUCAGACGUGUUGCUCAAGAAAGCUGAUAUGCUGGGGUAGAGUAGGUAGUUUUUUGACUUCUCUAUUAUUUGAUCUGUUGUUAUUGGAUUUGGCCACGCAACGUUUGAAAUACCCAAACCUCUAAACUUGGUUUCUGUGUUCAAGUACGAUGUUCUGUUGCUCACCCACACAUAUAUUUCUUGAUCAUUCGGCUAGGUUUUGUCACACAUCCUUAUGACUAACUCGUUUGAUGACAGCGGCUUGAUGUUUGGAUGCUGUGCCCUGCAGCUGUAUUUAUUAAGAAACUUCAUUGGUCUACUCACGCUGACAGGGUGUACUUUAGUAGAGCACAAAUAAAAUAGUAUUAAUAUUAUACAAAAAAGGGUUAUCAAUAAAAAAAAAAAAUGUAAAAAAUAAAUACAUUAUC
This is a long non-coding RNA of Melanaphis sacchari, 3248 nucleotides long. RefSeq lists it as uncharacterized. NCBI's taxonomy places the organism in Eukaryota, Metazoa, Arthropoda, Insecta, Hemiptera, Aphididae. The transcript is spliced from 4 exons. The record is from RefSeq and is a predicted model, not a curated record.